RNAcentral lists this ribosomal RNA (459 nucleotides) under uncultured bacterium. RNAcentral describes it as "partial 16S ribosomal RNA". It matches the Rfam family "Bacterial small subunit ribosomal RNA", at positions 338 to 795 of the family's 1533-position model. The record is from RNAcentral.
CCUACGGGGGGCAGCAGUGAGGAAUAUUGGUCAAUGGCCGAGAGGCUGAACCAGCCAAGUCGCGUGAGGGAAGACGGCCCUACGGGUUGUAAACCUCUUUUGUCGGGGAGCAAAGCGAGUCACGUGUGACUCCUUGAGAGUACCCGAAGAAAAAGCACCGGCUAACUCCGUGCCAGGCGCCGCGGUAAUACGGAGGAUGCGAGCAUUCUCCGGAUUUAUUGGUUUUAAAGGGUGCGCAGGCGGAGGUGCAGUGCUGCGGUAAAAUUGCGGGGCUCAACCCCGUACUGCCGUUGAAACUGCAGCCCUUGAGUGCGCGAGAGGUAUGCGGAAUGCGUGGUGUAGCGGUGAAAUGCAUAGAUAUCACGCAGAACUCCGAUGGCGAAGGCAGCAUACCGGCGCGCAACUGACGCUCAUGCACGAAAGCGUGGGUAUCGAACAGGAUUAGAUACCCUAGUAGUC